AGCUCCACCUCGCUCUAAGCUCCACCUGACUCUCGAAACUCCACCUCGCACUGGGCUCCCUACCAGGUAAUAAUGUCCUCUGCUCCUCUUCUUUUCCUCCAGCACAAUCCUAUCGCCGCAUAGCACCCUCAUGAUUCUUCCAUCAGUUACCGUCCUGUAGCUUCUCGAAUCCAGUCUGCUAAGUGAGAUAAGAUUCUGCCUA
Molecule: long non-coding RNA, 202 nt
Filed under: Elaeis guineensis (African oil palm)
Lineage: Eukaryota; Viridiplantae; Streptophyta; Magnoliopsida; Arecales; Arecaceae
Description: long non-coding RNA (EGUI_LNC081303)
Source: RNAcentral